Mandrillus leucophaeus (drill) is the source of this 1202-nucleotide RNA transcript. It is a transcript of the gene named methionine adenosyltransferase 2 subunit beta pseudogene, with no coding region annotated. The transcript is spliced from 3 exons. Lineage: Eukaryota; Metazoa; Chordata; Mammalia; Primates; Cercopithecidae. The record is from RefSeq and is a predicted model, not a curated record.
GGCCUGCGUCAAUCCUGGGUUGGAGGAGGUGGUGGCCGGUGAGGCUGUGGCGUGAAGACAGCGGGCAUGGUGGGGCGGGAGAAAGAGCUCUCUAUACACUUUGUUCCCAGGAGCUGCCGGCUGGUGGAGGAGGAAGUUAACAUCCCUAAUGGGAGGGUUCUGGUUACUGGUGCCACUGGGCUUCUUGGCAGAGCUGUACACAAAGAAUUUCAGCAGAAUAAUUGGCAUGCUGUUGGCUGUGGUUUUAGAAGAGCAAGACCAAAAUUUGACCAGGUUAAUCUGUGGAUUCUAAUGCAGUUCAUCACAUCAUUCAUGAUUUUCAGCCCCAUGUUAUAGUGCAUUGUGCAGCAGAGAGAAGACCAGAUGUUGUAGAAAAUCAGCCAGAUGCUGCCUCUCAACUUAAUGUGGAUGCUUCUGGGAAUUUAGCAAAGGAAGCAGCUGCUGUUGGGGCAUUUCUCAUCUACAUUAGCUCAGAUUAUGUAUUUGAUGGAAAAAAUCCACCUUACAGAGAGGAAGACAUACCAGCUCCCCUAAAUUUGUAUGGCAAAACAAAAUUAGAUGGAGAAAAGGCUGUCCUGGAGAACACUUUAGGAGCUGCUGUUUUGAGGAUUCCUAUUCUGUAUGGGGAAGUUGAAAAGCUCGAAGAAUGUGCUGUGACUGUUAUGUUUGAUAAAGUGCAGUUCAGCAACAAGUCAGCAAACAUGGAUCACCAGCAGCAGAGGUUCCUCACACAUGUCAAAGAGGUGGCCACUGUGUGCCGGCAGCUAGCAGAGAAGAGAAUGCUGGAUCCAUCAAUUAAGGGAACCUUUCACUGGUCUGACAAUGAACAGACGACUAAGUAUGAAAUGGCGUGUGCAAUUGCAGAUGCCUUCAACCUCCCCAGCAGUCACUUAAGACCUAUUACUGACAGCCCUGUCCUAGGAGCACAGCGUCCAAGAAAUGCUCAGCUUGACUGCUCCAAAUUGGAGACCUUGGGCACUGGCCAACGAACACCACUUCGAAUUGGAAUUAAAGAAUCACUUUGGCCUUUCUUCAUUGACAAGAGAUGGAGACAAAUGGUCUUUCAUUAGUUUAUUUGUGUUGUUGUUAGUUUUUUUUAAUGAAAAGUAUAGCAUGUGGCACUUUUUAAAGAACAAAGGAAAUAGUUUUGUAUGAGUACUUUAAUUGUGACUCUUAGGAUCUUUCAGGAAAAAUGGAGGGCU